Molecule: long non-coding RNA, 518 nt
Filed under: Brassica napus (rape)
Lineage: Eukaryota; Viridiplantae; Streptophyta; Magnoliopsida; Brassicales; Brassicaceae
Description: long non-coding RNA (BNAP_LNC019437)
Source: RNAcentral
GAAGUAGUGACUCGGCCAGUAACUCGUGCCUGAGCGAGGGAGAGUAGAUGUACUCUUGUUAGGCGAGUUGAGUGUAAACUUGUGCCCGGAGAAAGGUAAGCUUACUAAACUCGUGCCUAGACAGAGGCGAGUAGUACUUUGACUAGGCGAGUUGGCUAGUGAACUCAUGCCUAGGACGCGAGUUGUACUCUUGCUAGGAGAGUUUACUAUGAAAUCGUCCCUAGAAGUAGUGACUCGGCCAGUAACUCGUGCCUGAGCGAGGGAGAGUAGAUGUACUCUUGUUAGGUGAGUUGAGUGUAAACUUGUGCCCGGAGAAAGGCAAGCUUACUAAACUCGUGCCUAGACAGAGGCGAGUAGUACUUUGACUAGGCGAGUUGGCUAGUGAACUCAUGCCUAGGACGCGAGUUGUACUCUUGCUAAGAGAGUUUACUAUGAAAUCGUCCCUAGAAGUAGUGACUCGGCCAGUAACUCGUGCCUGAGCGAGGGAGAGUAGAUGUACUCUUGUUAGGUGAGUUGAG